Molecule: transfer RNA, 56 nt
Filed under: Panagrellus redivivus
Lineage: Eukaryota; Metazoa; Nematoda; Chromadorea; Rhabditida; Panagrolaimidae
Description: tRNA-Asp
Source: RNAcentral
GAUUCUUUAGUAUAUAUUUAGUAUUUAUAGUUGUCAGCUAUAGAGAUAUAGAAUCA